Acanthosepion pharaonis is the source of this 110-nucleotide non-coding RNA. The record is from the annotation of a GenBank genome assembly. Lineage: Eukaryota; Metazoa; Mollusca; Cephalopoda; Sepiida; Sepiidae.
ACAGCCAUAUCACAUUGAAACACUGGUUCUCAGAUGAUCACCGCAAUCAAGCAAUGUUGAGCCUGGUCAAUACCUAGGUGGGUAACCAUUUGGGAAUACCAGGUGCUGUA